Molecule: ribosomal RNA, 356 nt
Filed under: uncultured bacterium
Lineage: Bacteria
Description: partial 16S ribosomal RNA
Rfam family: Bacterial small subunit ribosomal RNA
Source: RNAcentral
UGGGGAAUAUUGGACAAUGGGCGAAAGCCUGAUCCAGCCAUGCCGCGUGUGUGAAGAAGGUCUUCGGAUUGUAAAGCACUUUAAGUUGGGAGGAAGGGCAUUAACCUAAUACGUUAGUGUUUUGACGUUACCGACAGAAUAAGCACCGGCUAACUCUGUGCCAGCAGCCGCGGUAAUACAGAGGGUGCAAGCGUUAAUCGGAAUUACUGGGCGUAAAGCGCGCGUAGGUGGUUUGUUAAGUUGGAUGUGAAAUCCCCGGGCUCAACCUGGGAACUGCAUUCAAAACUGACUGACUAGAGUAUGGUAGAGGGUGGUGGAAUUUCCUGUGUAGCGGUGAAAUGCGUAGAUAUAGGAAG